Molecule: ribosomal RNA, 1178 nt
Filed under: Phania funesta
Lineage: Eukaryota; Metazoa; Arthropoda; Insecta; Diptera; Tachinidae
Description: partial 28S ribosomal RNA
Rfam family: Eukaryotic large subunit ribosomal RNA
Source: RNAcentral
UUUGUCUAAUGGCARAUGUGAGAUGCAGUGUAUGGAAUGUCAAAUUUCUAGUAUGAGAAAUUAACNAUUUAAGUCCUUCUUAAAUGAGGCCAUUUACCCAUAGAGGGUGCCAGGCCCGUAUAACGUUAAUGAUUACUAGAUGGCAUUUCCAAAGAGUCGUGUUGCUUGAUAGUGCAGCACUAAGUGGGUGGUAAACUCCAUCUAAAACUAAAUAUAACCAUGAGACCGAUAGUAAACAAGUACCGUGAGGGAAAGUUGAAAAGAACUCUGAAUAGAGAGUUAAAUAGUACGUGAAACUGCUUAGAGGUUAAGCCCGAUGAACCUAAAUAUCCCAUUAUGGAAAACUCAUCGUUAUGAUUUUAAUAUAUUAUGAUAAUGGUGUGCAUUUUUUCUAUAAAGGACAUUGUAAUCUAUUAAUACAAAAAAUUUAUCAAAAAAUCGCCCGGGUUUAUUCGAAUUAAUUUUCUUGCAAUUAAAAAUAAAAUAAACGCUCUUGAUUUGAUAAAGGGUUAAUAAAUUUAAAUAUAGGGCUUAAAUAAUAUAUUUUAGAAAUGAUUUUUGAUUUUGAUGCUUAUCGUAACAUAUUUGCAAGUUAUUGGGUGAAASUUAAUAGCAAAAUUAACAUGACUAAAUGGGAUUAGUUUNUGUGCCGAUAUUAAUUCAAUCCCGGGGCGUUCUAUACGGUUAUGUAUAAUAAUAUUUAUAUUAUUUAUACCUCUAAMUAGAGCGCGCCUUGAGCAUAUAUGUUGUGACCCGAAAGAUGGUGAACUAUACUUGAUCAGGUAGAAGUCAGGGGAAACCCUGAUGGAAGACMGAAACAGUUUUGACGUGCAAAUCGAUUGUCAGAAUUGAGUAUAGGGGSGAAAGACCAAUCGKACCAUCUAGUAGSUGGUUCCCUCCGAAGUUUCCCUCAGGAUAGSNGGUGCAUUUAAAAAUUAUUUAAAAUAAUCUUAUYUGGUAAAGCGAAUGAUUAGAGGCCUUAGGGUGGAAACGAUUUUAACCUAUUCUCAAACUUUAAAUGGGUAAGAACCUCACCUUUCUUGGUAAUGAAGGUUGUGGUUGUGAUAUAAUGUGCCCAGUGGGCCACUUUUGGUAAGCAGAACUGGCGCUGGGGGAUGAACCNAANNNUAANGUUMCGGUGCCCAAAUUAACAACUCAUACAGAUACCAUGAAAGGCG